UUUUUUACAAGUACAUUGAAAGGUUAAGUUUAUUUCAAAAAUAUUUUUAUAAUUUGUUAACCUUUUAUUUAAUUAGUACUCUCCCCGUCUCUAAAUACAAGUCUUUUUAGAGAUUCCAAUAUAAACCACAUACCGAUAUAUAUAGUCAGGUAGAUUCAUUUUGCAUGUACUCCAUAUUAGAAUCUCUAAAUGGACUUGUACUUUGUAUUCAGGAAUUUAGUGGGUAUUUUUUUUCUAUAUUAGGUGUAUAUACACCAAUAUACCAGAAGUUCCUGUCCCUACCUCGUUCUACCCAUUUGUUAUAAUGAUCUACUCCGUCUUAUAAGACCUUUUAGCUAUUUCAACAUAUUAACUACAUACAGACUUUCUCCGUCCCGGAUACUUGUCACACAAAUAGAUAAAAUUGGAUGUAUCCAAAACUGAAAAUACCAAAAAUAUGUCUAGAUACAUUUAGUUCUGCGACAAGUAAUUUAGUACGGGAGGAGCACUAAAUAAGUAAAAUACAUACUAAAGUGUGUCUUAACAUACAUACUAAUAAAAAAGCUAAAAGUCUUAUAUUAGGGAACGGAGGGAGUAGUAGUAUAAACCAGAUGGGAGCAAAACAAGAACAUGUAGCAGACCAAAGUCUUUCCAUCAUAUGUUUCUUCGUCAAAUUACAUGCAUGUAAUCUUCUUGCCGAAUACAGAGGCGCACACACGAUCCAAUUCUUGCUUCAACCUAGGUGGGAGAGCAAGGACACGCACGACAUGCUAACACGAGCUGCUACUCCAAACGCACUCCCCUUCUUUUGCUGUAACCACCAUCACCACCACCAUCACCACGAAAAAACCAUACGCAGAUAUAUCUUCCUAACGAACCAACAAAUCCAACAAGGCGCAUUUCAUAUCCGCAACUGCUGUCCGUCAUCAUAUGUCGGCUGAGAGGAAGUUGUCAGACAAGGUAACCUGGAGAGGAAACGGAGUCAGCAAGCAUAUCGCAUCGAAACAAGAUCAAUUUUGCGAGUCUAGCUAGAGCGGAAGAAGUGAUUGAUUACCUUCUCGCCCAACUUGAACGGCGCCAGGCCUCUGUAUGGGCAGGUGCUGCAUCGGAAAGCGUCGCCCAACCCACACUGAAAUUGCAGGUUCACAGAGAAUAAUGUGAGAUAUUCAGUUGACCACAUGCAUGCAACGACUAGUGGAGAUCACAAGUGGCAUUGUACACAAAGAAGCAAUUGUACUUACACUGCCACAAGCUGAGACAGGGUUAUCAAUCUGUUCUGCAGUGAGCCCCAGCUUCUCCACCUUCUGCUCAGCCUCGGCCCUGCCACAACUGCAGUUCUUGCAUGCCUUCUUUGUAGCUCCCACCUCACAAUCUCCUACUGAUGAAGCAACAGCAAAACUUUCAGCAUCUAAACCUAAAUAGACCAUCUUCACAAGAUUUAAACAAGAUCUGAGGGUUUGUUGGCUUUACCAACUGGAAGCUGUGGCUUCUUCAAGUCCUCCUCAGUCAAGAGGCUGUCUUCGUCAAUCAGUUCAUCAUCAUCGUCAAUUUCAAUCUUUGGAAGAGCCUUUACUGCUUUCUUCAGGGGAAAGGAAGAACCCAUAAUCCAAGAAGGCUUCUUUGCCUUGAUCUGUAAGUGAUCCCAGUUAGCACUCGUCAAUGGAGAAAACCAUGUACAGAGCAGCCUUAACAAGAUGUGUCAUACUCACAGUAACAGAUUGCACGCUAUCUUGCGAGUUUGUAGCAGAAGCUUGCACUUCAACAAAACCACCCAUGAGUAGCUGGCGCUCGAUAUAAUUGUUUGGCUAAUGCAGAGGGAAACAGAAAAUCAGGUUGUGCUAAAUUAACAUUACAAGACAAUGGAUACGAGCAAAAACAGACACAUAAUUUACCUUCUGGUCAGUGGAGGGUGUGAAGCUCUGUACCAGCACAAUUCCACCAGCUUUCAGCACUCGGCUAAUUUCAGCAACCAACUUAUCUCCAAAGCUCUCAACAUUUUUUAUAACAGACAGAACAGCACCCACGGACGCGUCAUCAAAAGGCAACUUCCCACCUGACCCAUGUUGACAACAAAGGCUUAGAACAGGUUCAUGAAAGACUUGUUCACACAAGAAUGUGACAUACUAAAGCAUAGCAGAAUGAAAACUGAACACAACUAAGUGUACUCCCCGCAGCUUCUGAGGCAAGACAUCGAAUCAUCUCUCCAUGCAACAAACGUUGGCUAAAUUACAUAGUUUGUAUCAGCACUACAUUGAAGUUCAUGAGUGAUAGCCUGAUAGGAAGAAAACCAACCUAUUUUUGUUCUCCUUUUCUCAACUGGUAUUAUGUCUUUCGUGUGUAUUCUUAUAUUUGAAAGAUGGACAUGUAGAGGGACAUUUAAGAACUUGGCAAUUAGCACAUGAAGCAUAAGCUGUAAGUCAGAAACUACAAUGACAAAGGUAAACUCCAAUGAAGCUGAUCAGGAGUGCCCCUAAAUCGAUUGCAAUUGAACUGCGACGAAGCAACACAAGACCAAAUUAGAACCAGCACACAGGCAGUGUGCUGAAGUAAGGGGGACCCUCAAAUCUGAUUCUAACCUAGCCCUAGAGAAAUAUUAUCACCUCAGGUGUUAUUUAUUCUAUACAUGCAGUGGGUCCUAACCUAGAAUAGGCAUCCGCGCGGCUCCAGGUCACAACUGACCCAUGUUGACAACAAAGUUUUACAAACAGGUGCAUGACAGAUUUAAGUUUUAUACAAGGAUGUGGCAUAUUGAAACUGAAGUCUAAGUAAGAAUCAUCAAGAGAAAAAACAACGAAAUGUCUACUCCCAGAUUUGCGAACUACGCAACAAUUGGAUUGUCUGUCCAUAAGAAAGACGUUGGGACAAAUAACAUAGUGUGUAAUAGGCAACUCAUAUAUCAGCCCAUGAGUGGUAGCCUAAUAGCCAAAUGUUCUAUUCUGUGAGAUUUAGUAUAUUUUUCUUCCAACGAAACGAGAAUAUAAGCAUUGCUUUUUUUUCCACUUCUUUAUAUGUAUGUAUCUUCUGUGUAUUCUUUAUAUGUGUAGAGUAAUACUUUAAGUUAGCUAAGAUUGUCAUAUGUAGAAUAAGUUUAAACGCAUCAAGUCUAGAUAUGAAAUGGUAUUCCCACCGAGGGAGUACGUGUUACUCCUCCCAGCGUUAUGACACAACAAUAAAACAUUUGUACACACAACAGACAUUAGCCAAAUUACAUAGUUUGCACUAGCACUACAUAAGUGCAUGAGUGAUGUCCUGAUGGGAGAAUGAUCUUCUCCUUUUCUCUCGCGAUUAAAGCGAUGAUACCAACCUAUUUUUCUCCAUUCUCUAUUGGUAGUACGUGUUAUAUGUGUAUUCUUAUCUUAUAUUUAACAGAUAGAUAGGUAGAUUGACAUUUAAGAACUGGGCAAUUAGCAUUCGAGGCAUAAGCUUCAAAUCAUAAGCUACAACAACAGAAGGUAAACUCCAAUCAAGCAUAUCAGGAGUGCACAUAGAUUAAUCAAAACUGAACCGCAGCGAAGUCGCAACAGAAGACCCAAUUAGAACCAGCACACAGGUAGUGUGCUGAUAAGCAAUGGGCAACCUCACAUCUGAUUCUAAUCUAACCCUCAAGAAAUAUUAUCAUCUCACAUGUAUUUAUUCUAAACAUGCAGCAGGUCCUAACCCUAUCAUAGGCAUACGCGCGGCUUUGGGUCCCACCUGACCCAUGUUCACAACAAAGUUUUGUGAACAGGUACAUGACAGAGUUAAGUUUCAUACAAGGAUGUGGCUUAUUGAAACUGAAAGUCCAAGUAAAAGUCGUCAAGAGCAAAAAUAAUGAAAUGUUUACUCCCAGAUUUGUGAAGCACACAGCAAUUGGAUUGUUUGUCCAUAAGAAAGACGCCGGGACACAUAACAUACCGUGUAAUAGAUAAUUCAUAUAGCAGCCCAUGAGUGGUAGGCUAACAGCCAGAGAUGUUCUACUAUGUGAGAUAGUGUAUAUUUUUAUCUGGACGGAUGCGAGCGGACAGAAAUGAGUGAACAAACACACUAAAACGUGUCAAUAUACGUUGAAUAAGUUUAAACGGAUCAAAUCUAAGUAUGAACGAGCAAGAGGGCAAUAUAUGGUGAUGAGCAAGGGGCAAUCCCAAAUUUGAUUUAUAAGCCACCGCUCGAGAAAGAGCCCUUGGAUUUUAUAUAUUCUAUACUAGUGUAAUAAAGAUGCAGCGGGUCCUAACCCUAGCAUGGGCGGGGCGGGGCGGGGCGACGCUUGAGCGAAAUCGGUAACAGGGGGAAAGGGGCGAGAUGGAGGAGAAGGUGUUACCGACCGAGCGAGGCGCACUGCGUGAUGACGAAGACCUCCUCCCGCGAGACCCCGGCAGCCGCCGCCAGGUCCCCCACCGCGCGGAGAGGCAGGGCCAGCUCGUCCGUCACCGCGAGCGCCGCCGCCAUGUGGCCCGCCCCCGACGGAAUCACCUGCAACAGCGAGGAGGAGGCAGAGAGGGGAGGGGGGAAUCGUUCGCCCCUGGUCAGAUGAACGGCCGGCGACGGCGGCGGCGGGAGCAGGUGGAUCGAAUGGGAAAGCAGGGGGAUUGCUUCGAGGCGCUUACGGAUGGAUGGAUCUGAAGAGGGCGCGUGGAGGCGGGGAAGAAAGGAAAUCCCGUGGGCGGGCGGGCGGGCGCGCGAGAGGGGAAGGGGAACUCGGGUUUUGGUUGCGUGCGCUCUGGAAGCUUCCCUUCCGUGGCGGUGCGGCAACGAGGAGAAGGAGUGGGAACGGCGGCGGCGCGUGAGGGGUCAGGGUUGUCCCGUCUAGGGCUGGCCAAACGGGCCGGGCCGGCCCGGCCCAUCAUAAUCAUGCCUGCCACGUCGUGCCGAGAGCAACUAGUUAAGGAGCGCUCCUUCGAAAUCCUCACAACCAUCACUUGGGUUGGGAUAAAAGCGCGUCAUUUGGCGUGCUCUCAGUCGCCGUCACGUGUCGCGCUCUGUGCGCUUUUUUCGAUUUUUUAUUUAUUUUAUCGCACAUGUUUUUGGCUUUUUAAAUGUUUUUUUCGGUUUUUUGACUUUUUUUGUUUUUCACCGGCCUUCCAAAGUUUUCGGACCAAAAAAAUUUGUGCGGAAAAACUUGUUUUUUUUUGCUUUCUCAAGAGACAUGGUUUUGCUUUUGCGAGAGGGACAACCAUGCCUCUCAAAAACGAAAAAAAAUAUGUUUUUUCUUUUUUUUUCUUUUGGAAACGGGAAAAAAUGUGUUUUCUUUUUCUUUUCUUCCACGAGACGCACAAUUUUGCCUCUUUCAGAAAGGAAAAAAACAUGCUCCCGGUUCAGUCUUUUGUCCGGUUUUUUGUGAAAAAAAGUAUUGUCAAAACCUAUCAACAUGUGGUCUAGUUUUGAAGAUCUCAACGCGAAGAGUCCAACGGUGAAAACAAUUUGAGAUUUCGAUGCACGCUUUAGGAGAUAAAACGUUUUGAAUAAACAGACGAAAAAAAGGGAAAACUCCCAUGUUGCGAUGCUGCGCACCACUAGUCACAACAUGGGGAGGUGGGAGCGAUAUUUGGAAAGAGUACUCCUUAAGGGCAUGUCCAAUGCAUAGCCCCAGGAUGAUGCCCCAUACACCAUGUAGGAUCGGAUGUCAGAAAAAGUAGGUGCGGAUAGUGCAGCGGGAUCCUCUGCAGGAGGCGGGUGCUUGGGGGAGAAAAAGUGUGGUCCGAUGCAUAGAGCUAAAAAAAGUUUAAGUGAAGAGUAGGGAUGCAUGUGUAGUGGGAGUCUACUUAAAAUUAUUUGAAGAGGCCGUCUAUUAGUACCUUGCAUUAGGGAGAAAAAAAAUCAAUAUAGAUGCCUCAAGCUACUUUUUGUCAUGGGGCAUCUGUAUCCAUAUACCACUAUUGUACAUGCCCUAAUUAGUGAUUUCGCGGCAUGGUCGUCGUGACACGAUUAUUAGUCAGGCCGUGCCCACGUGCUGCCUCCUUCGGCUCAGGCACGACCCAAGAGUUAUGUGGGCCGGCCCGGCGGCACAUCGGGCAUGUUGGGCCGCUCGGCUAUUGGCCUGCUAGGCUUUUUUUUGGACCGAUUUUGGCCUAUUGGGUUGUUCCUUAUGGCAUAUAUAUAUAUAUAAUAAAAAGUAAACCGGCCAGGCCAUGCUGGCCCGCGUGCGCACCCUUCUGGCCCAAGCACGGCCCAAGGUGUGUCGCGUGCAUGGAAUGGCCCUAUUAGAGCGUGCCGGCCCUAGCCCGCCAAGUGUUGUGACAGCGUGCUUGUGGGCCGGCAUGCUAGGCCCGGCCCGCUUGGCCAGCUUUGGUCCCGUCUGCCUCGGCGUCUUUGGACCAACUGUAAGGGCGGCGGAUCAGAUCAGGCGACUAUGGUGUCGGCCCACGGCCUGUCUCGAGCAUCUGGGCCAGGUUGCUGGCGUUCCUGCCUAAACGAACGCGAGAGCUAUUUCUCAUUUAAUGCGAGCCCUGCGGUACUCUUCUCCCUUAGUGCGCCCACCCAGUGGCACCAUUUGUUCCGGUUUUCUUCCAGUUUUCCUCCCGGUCUUUCAUUUUUAAGUUUUCACUUCAAUUGGUUUCUUCGGUUUUCUCUAUGCUUCUUCACCGGUUUUCUUUGUUUUUUUUUUCAUUUUUGCAACGCAUGUCGUACACAUCGUACAUUUUUAUGUCGUUGUGGAACAUCGUUUUGAUACAUGUUGAACAUUUUUCAAAUUCAUGGUGUCAAUUUUUCUAAUAUAUGUUCUGAAUAUUCUUAAAAUACAUGUCAAAUAUUUUUCAAAUGCACCUUGAACAUUUCCCCUUCUUAUUGCUUGACAUAGCUCCGACUCUCCUCUAGCGCAAGGCUGCCAGGCCGGCCCUGUACUGUAGUUGUGCUGUGAUUUCUUUUCUCUGUGGUUUUCUUGUCAGGAUUUUCACUGUUCUCUUUAAUUUUUCUUCAUUCUGUCCCUUUUUUAGUUUUCUUUUUUCUUUCUUCGGUUAUCACCGGUUUCGCUCGGGUUUAUUUAUUAAUUUUUCCUAUUAUUUUCAACACAUGUCUACAUUUUUGUACGCAUUGUACAUUUUAUGUAUACGUCACACACAUAUUAUAUACACGUUACACAUUUUUCAAAUACAUAAUUACAAUUUUGUCAAAUACUAAUAUGAUCUAAUGUCUACUUUUUGUAUUCGUUGUACAUUUUUUCCUAUACAUAUAAUUUGUUUUUCUAUACAUGUCUAAAAUUAUUUAAAAUCCAUGUUUUUAACCUUUUUUUAAAAUACCUAUCAACCAUUUUUAAACUUCACAUUGAACAUUUUUAUAUUGUCUAUUUUUUAAAUGUCACAAGAUAUUUUUUGAAAAUUAUUUAUUUUUUGUAAUUGUACAAACAUUCUUUAAAUGUCACAACAAAUUUAGGCUAGUUAUAGUGGGGAGUAACUUAGACUAGUAACAUACUACCUUCGUCUAGGUGAAUAAGUCAUUCGCGUAGUUCUAGGUCAUCGAUUUAAGGAAUUAAAUAUGUGUUAUAUGUCAUGAAAAGUAUAUCACUAGAUUUCUACACGGAUGUAGUUUCUAAAUAUAUAUUUUUUGUCACAUAUAAUACAUAUUUUGAUAGUUAAAUCGUCGACCUAGAACUACGCGAAUGACUUAUUCGCCGAGACGGAGGUAGUACAUAUGUUACUAGUCAAUGUUAGUACCUUCAUAGUGGGAAGUGUCAUAGGUGUAGUAACAUAUAUAUCUUCAUUUAUUACUUUGUAGACUCAUUUUGUAUUGGGAACCGCUAUGUGAUGGUAACAUAUUAUGUUACUCCCUCCAUCACAGUUUAUAAGGCACACUUCCGUUUACAUGCAUUUUCAGAAUAUGUGAGGUUUAAGGCGCGUUGGCAUUUACUGCUUAGAGUAGUUAAUUAGACUAGUACUAGGCAGGCUUUACUACUCCACCACUGCAUGCAUGCGGACGGCUCGUUUAAUGGCCUGGUUGUUUACUGUGCUUUGAUUUCUCAGCUAAUUAGGCGUUGUGGUUUAACUUAUGCAGCUAUUUUUUAGUCGAGAGGAAAGAAACCUGGAGCCAAUCGUGGAUCACCUUGGUCCCAGAGAUUUUUGAUGUGCACCUUAAUUAUAAACUGUGACGGAGGGAGUACUCUAUUUAUCUCUCUCCUCUUUAAUUACAUGACACAUCAACUUUUUUGCUUAUGUGGUAUUUAUGUUACUAGAGAUGUUACUCCCACUAUGACUAGCCUUAUAUGGUACGCAUUAAUAUAUUAUACAUUUAAUAAACUAUUUUUUGAAUUCUACGAAUUUCCAUUUUUUAAUGUCACGUAGAUUUUUUAAAUGGGUUAAUGUUUUCUUAAUGUCAGAAAUAUUUUUUGAUUGACAUCAACUUUUUUCAAAUUGCACUAACACAAAUUUACACAAUGUUAAUGUUUUUUGAAUUCACGGUGAACAUUAAAAAACAAUUAAAGUAUAAUAUGCUUUUUGGAAUGCGUGUAUUUAUAAUAAUUUCAAAAGUAUAAACAAGAAAUAAUAAAACAAACAAAAAUAAUAACAGAACUGAUUUAUGUGUGCCAACUUGAUUAUGGGCCGGCCCAGUUGUGUCGUCCUUGAGCCGAGACCUACUUAUAUCUCGCUACGGACAAGACCGAAUGAAAAAACCACACCAUUCAAAAGCCGCUUCCGAGAGGCACGGCCGUUCCGACCGUGCCUCUCGCGGAAGCAAAUUCGUGCCUCUCACAAAAGGAAAUAAAAAAGAAAACACAUUUUUUCCCGUAUUCGAGAUGCACGGCCGUGCCUCUCAUGGAAGCAAAUCCGUGCCUCUCGCGGAAGGGAAAAAAAGAAGAAGAAAACGCAUUCUUUUUUUUGGUCUCCGAGAGGCACGACUGUGCCUCUCGCGGAAGCAAAUUUGUGCCUCUCAUGGAAGCAAAAUUGUGCUUCUCGCGGAAAAAACAAAACACAUUUUUUCCCCGUUUUCGAGAAGCACGGUUGUGCCUCUCGCGAAAGCAAAACGAGCAUCUCACAGAAGGAAAAAAAGGAAGAAACGUGAUUUUUUCGUCUGCGAGAGGCGCGGUCGUACCUCUUGCGGAAGCAAAUACGUGCCUUUCGCAGAAACAAAACCGUGCCCAACGCGGCUUGAUAGGCCGCUAGGUCAGCCUCCUCUGGCGUCUGCUGCUGCAGCGGCAUUGUGGCGAGGCGGGCGCACUCCUCCUCCUCAAGGCACAAUGCCUCCUCGUCAAGGUGCAACUCCUGCUCCCGGUGCAUCCGCCGCUCGCCGUUGACCGCCUCCUCGGCGAGUCAAUGUGCCUUCGCGUGGGUGGGCCGCCUCCUCCUCCGGCCUCGCGGCGUAGUUGACAGGAGGCGCUCUCACCCACUCGCGGUACUCGCCGGUCCAGGAGGAGGUCUCCUCAGGCCAAGUGGGCGGCGGCGGCGGCGACCGCUUUCGCGUGGGUGUGGGGUUGGGCUCCGGCCCCGGAUCGGGCUCGGCCUUGAGCUCGAGCGGCGGCGCAGGACGAAGAGCGGAGCAUGGAUGGAGUCCCCUGAUACGUCUCCAACGUAUCUAUAAUUUUUUAUUGUUCCAUACUAUUAUAUUAUCCAUCUUGGAUGUUUUAUAUGCAUUUAUAUGCUAUUUUAUAUUUUUUUGGACUAACUUAUUAACUUAAAGCCCAGUGCCACUUUCUGUUUUUCCUUGUUUAUGAGUUUUGCAUAAAAGGAAUACCAAACGGAGUCCAAAUGAGCUGAAAAUUUACGGUGAUUUUUUAUGGACCAGAAGAAGCCCUCGAAACAAAAGAGUUGGGGCAGAAGAGUCCCGAGUCAUCCACAAGGGUGGAGGGCGCCCCCUAGGGCGCGCACCCCUGUAUUGUCGUUGACUUGUCGACCCCCCUGACGUGAAACCGAUGCCAAAAAUUCAUAUAAAUCCAGAAACCCCCCAGAAAGAAACAUAUAUCGGGAGUUCCGCCGCCACAAGCCUCUGUAGCCACGAAAAAUCAAUCGGGAGCCCUUUCCAGCACCCUGCCGGAGGGGGAGUCCAUCACUGAUGGCCAUCUUCAUCAUCCCGACACUCUCCAUGACGAGGAGGGAGUAGUUCACCCUCGGGGCUGAGGGUAUGUACCAGUAGCUAUGUGUUUGAUCUCUCUCUCUCUCUCUCUCUCUCUCGUGUUCUUGAUUUGGCACGAUCUUGAUGUAUCACGAGCUUUGCUACUAUAGUUGGAUCAUAUGGUGUUUCUCCCUCUCUACCUUCUUGUGAUGAAUCGAGUUUUCCCCUUGAAGUUAUUUUAUCGGAUUGAAUCUUUAAGGAUUUGAGAACACUUGAUGUAUGUCUUGCAUAUGAAUAUCCGUGGUGACAAUGGGAUAUGCACGUGAACCACUUGAUGUAUGUUUUGGUGAUCAACUUGCGGGUUCCAUGACCUUGUGAACUUAUGCAUAGGGGUUGGCACACGUAUUCGUCUUGACUCUCCGGUGAAAACUUUGGGGCACUCUUUGAAAUUCUUUGUGUUGGUUUGAAUAGAUGAAUCUGAGAUUGUGUGAUGCAUAUAGUAUAAUCAAACUCGCGAGUACUCGUGGUGACAAUGGAGUGCCUAGGUGACAUUAGGGUUUUGGUUGAUGUGUAUCUUAAGGUAUUAUUUUAGUACGAACUCUAGGGAUGUUUGUGGCACUUAUAGGAAUAGCCCAAUAGAUCGAUCAGAAAGAAUAACUUUGAGGUGGUUUCGUACCCUACAAUAAUCUCUUCGUUUGUUCUCCGCUAUUAAUGACUUUGGAGUGACUCUUUGUUGCAUGUUGAGGGAUUGUUAUAUGGUCUAAUUAUGUUAUCAUUGUUGAGAGAACUUGCACUAGUGAAAGUAUGAAUCCUAGGCCUUGUUUCCAAGCAUUGCAAUACCGUUUUUGCUCACUUUUACUACUUGCUACCUUGCUGUUUUUAUAUUUUCAUAUUACAAAAACAUAUAUCUACCAUCCAUAUUACACUUGUAUCACUAUAUCUUCGCCGAACUAGUGCACCUAUACAAUUUACCAUUGUAUUGGGUGUGUUGGGGACACAAGAGACUCUUUGUUAUUUGGUUGCAGGGUUGUUUGAGAGAGACCAUCUUCUUCCUACGCUUCCACCGGAUUGGUAAACCUUAGGUCAUCCACUUGAGGGAAAUUUGCUACUGUCCUACAAAACUCUGCGCUUGGAGGCCCAACACGAGUCUACAAGAAGAAGGUUGCAUAGUAGACAUCAUCCCCCGCCGUCGACAAUACGAGGGCUUGGUCCAGCCCAUCCCAAUGGGCGUCCUUCUCGAGCGGCUCGCCUCCAGCACGUGCUGUAGGGCCUUCUCGAGUGCGGCUUGGUAAGCCGCCUCUUCCUCCUCCUCUGGCAAAACCUGUGGGGGUGGCGGCGGAACGUCGUGGUCGACGUGGACGCCGCCGCGGCACUCCUCCUCGUGCUCUAGUGCAAACCAGCGCUGUCAGUUGGGGGAGUCUGGUGUGUAGGCACGCAUCGCGCGCUGCUUGGGUGUAAGGACCUCGCGACGUCGGCGACCCUCCUAGGCGUCGCCCACGCCAAGCACAGCACCGCCGGAAUGGGGAUGCAGUGCGGGUCCAGAUGCCAGUCGUGCGGCAGGUUGAUACGUCUCCGUCGUAUCUAUAAUUUUUGAUUGUUCCAUGCCAAUAUUAUUCAACUUUCAUAUACUUUUUGGCAACUUUUUAUACUAUUUUUGGGACUAACAUAUUGAUCCAGUGCCAGUUCCUGUUUGUUGCAUGUUUUAUGUUUUGCAGAAUAUCCAUAUCAAACGGAAUCCAAACGGGAUAAAAACGGACGGAGCUUAUUUUUGGAAUAUUUGGAAAAUUCCGGAAGAAAAAUCCACGCGAGACGGUGCCCGAGGUGGCCACGAGGCAGGGGGGCGCGCCCCUGACCCUCGUGGGCCACCCGUAAGGCUGUUGAUGCCCUUCUUCGGCCGCAAGAAAGCUAAUUUUUGGAAAAAGAUCUGGGCGAAACAUUCAACCCAAUCGGAGUUACGGAUCUCCGGAUAUAAAAGAAACGGUGAAAGGGCAGCAAACGAGAACGCAGAAACAGAGAGACAGAUCCAAUCUUGGAGGGGCUCUCGCCCCUCCCACGCCAUGGAUGCCACAGACUAGAGGGGAAACCCUUCUUCCAUCUAGAGGAGGUCAAGGAAGGAGAAGACGAAGGGGCCCCCUCUCCCCUUCUCUUCCGGUGGCGCCAGAACGCCGCCGUGGCCAUCAUCAUCACCGCAAUCUUCACCAACAACUUCACCGCCAUCAUCACCAACUCUUCCCCCCUCUAUGCAGCGGUGUGACCUCUCUCUUACCCGCUGUAAUCUCUACUUAAACAUGGUGCUCAACGCUAUAUAUUAUUUCCCAAUGAUGUAUGGCUAUCCUAUGAUGUUUGAGUAGAUCCGUUUUGUCCUAUGGGUUAAUUGAUGAUCGUGAUUGGUUUGAGUUGCAUGUUUUAUUAUUGGUGCUGUCCUAUGGUGCUCUCCGUGUCGCGCAAGUGUGAGGGAUCCCCGCUGUAGGGUUUGCAAUAUGUUCAUGAUUUGCUUAUGGUGGGUGGCGUGAGUGACAAAAGCACAAACCCGAGUAAGUAGGUUGUUUGCGUAUGGGAUAAAGAGGACUUGAUACUUUAAGGCUAUGGUUGGGUUUUACCUUAAUGAUCUUUAGUAGUUGCGGAUGCUUGCUAGAGUUCCAAUCAUAAGUGCAUAUGAUCCAGGUAGAGAAAGUAUGUUAGCUUAUGCCUCUCCCUCAAAUAAAAUUGCAAUAAUGAUUACCAGUCUAGUUAUCGAUUGCCUAGGGACAAAUAACUUCCUCGUAACAAAAAGCUCUUUACUAAAACUAAUUUAGUUGUGUCUUUAUCUAAGCAGCCCCUAGCUUUUAUUUACGCUCUCUUUACUUUCUUGCAAACCUAUCCAAAAACACCUACAAAGUACUUCUAGUUUCAUACUUGUUUCCGGUAAAGCGAACGUCGAGUGUGCGUAGAGUUGUAUCGGUGGUCGAUAGAACUUGAGGGAAUAUUUGUUCUACCUUUAGCUCCUCAUUGGGUUCGACACUCUUACUUAUCGAAGUAGGCUACAAUUGAUCCCCUAUACUUAUGGGUUAUCAAGACCUUUUUCUGGCGCCGUUGCCGGGGAGUCAUAGCGUGGGGUGAAUAUUCUCGUGUGUUCUUGUUUGCUUUAUCAGUAAGUAAUUUUCAUUUGCUGUUCUUAGUUGUUUUCUAUCUUUAGUUAUGGGUAGGAAACGCAAAAUACCAAAAAAAUUAGUUGUACCUACUGAACCAAUGGUUGAAGAACCACUCAAAAUCUAUCACACUCCUGAAGCUUUUUACUUGGAUCAUCUUCGAUCCCUUUGUGCUCGUGCUGAAACCCCAACUAGCUUAGUUGAGGGCAAAUCCUUAGAUGAGCAUGCUUGUUAUGUGCGACACCGAAUAUCUGAAAAAGGGAAAAUUCUAUUGGGUCAAAUUCAUCGUUUGCAAUGCUAUGCUUGGAAUUUAUGUGAAAUAUAUGAUAUUACUUGUUGUUCUGAAAACCCUAAGAAACACCUUCCCUACCAAUGUGAGUAUAUUGAUAAUGGAAUCUUAUCUUCGUAUGCUAAAGGUGUUUAUAGUUACUAUGAUGUGCAACAAAUUGAAGAAUUUGUUGCUUUUAAGGGCGCUUCUGAAACUGCUUCUUUGUUUGAAACGUAUGAUGCUACUCUGCACAAAUCUGAAAAUUUUGCCAUACUUAAAUAUUGCUGAUAAUUAUGCUUCUAAUGCAUAUGUUGAACCAUAUAUUGAGGACUACUCCGCUAUCCAAGAAGAGACUAAUAUUUUGCAGGAGUCUAUGGAAGAAGAAAUUGAUGAAACUGUGAGCUUAUUGGAUGAAAAAGAUGAUGAGGAGAGCGAAGAACAAAAGGAGGAAGAGCGGAUUAGCUACCCGUGCCCACCUUCUAAUGAGAGUAACUCUUCAACUCAUACAUUGUUUAAUUUCCCUUCGUGCUUACCGAAGGAUGAUUGCUAUGAUGACUAUUAUGAUCCCGUUGAUUCUCUUGAAAUAUCCCUUUUUGAUGAUGCUUGCUAUGCUUGUGGCCAAGAUGCCAAUAUGAAUUAUGCUUAUGGAGAUGAAUUUGCUAUAGUUCCUUAUGUUAAACAUGAAAUUGUUGCUAUUGCACCCACGCAUGAUAGUCCUAUUAUCUUUUUGAAUUCUCCCGACUACACUAUAUCGGAGAAGUUUGCACUUAUUAAGGAUUAUAUUGAUGGCUUGCCUUAUACCAUUGCACAUGAUGAUUUUGAUGAAUAUGAUAUGCAUGUGCUUGCUGCUCCUACUUGCAAUUAUUAUGAGAGAGGAACUAUAUCUCCACUUCUCUAUGUUUCCAACACGAUAAAAUUGCAAGAAACCGUUUAUACUAUGCAUUGGCCUUUACUUUGUGUGCAUGAAUUGUUCUUUUAUGACAUGCCGAUGCAUAGGAAGAGAGUUAGACUUCGUCAUUUCAUGAUAUAUGUUGCUUUGUGCUCACUACUAAAUGCCAAAUCAUUGCUAAUUAAAAUUGGCUUUGAUAUACCUUGGGAUCCGGGUGGAUUCACUACUUGAGCACUAUAUGCCUAGCUUAAUGGCUUUAAAGAAAGCGCUGCCAGGGAGACAACCCGGAAGUUUUCGAGAGUUAUUUAUUUAUGUUGUGUGCUGCUAUAAAGUUUAUAAAUAAAAAUAAUGUGCCAAGGUUUGCCUUUAGGAUGGUUACAAUGCUUGUUGGUUUGUACGGUGCAGGACAGAAACUUUGGCCGUAGUGCGCGAUUUGUAAUUUUUUACUGGAACGUCAAAUGGUUAUGAUUCUUUUUGCACUGUCUUUCUAUAAUUUUUUUUAUUUUUCCUAAUUUUUGCAGAAUUUUUCAAGUAUCAUAAGUAUGGUGAAUGUUCAGAUUAUUACAGACUGUUCUGUUUUAGACAGAUUCUGUUUUCGAUGCAUAGUUUGCUUGUUUUGAUGAAACUAUCAAUUUAUAUCAGUGGAUUAAGCCAUGAAAAAGUUAUACUACAGUAGACACAAUGCAAAAACAAAAUAUGAAUUGGUUUGCAACAGUACUUAGAGUAGUGAUUUGCUUUAUUAUACUAACGGAUCUUACCGAGUUUUCUGUUGAAGUUUUGUGUGGAUGAAGUGUUCGAAGAUCGAGGAUGUUUCGAUAUGAGGAUAAGGAGGAGAGGCAAGAGAUCAAGCUUGGGGAUGACCAAGGCACCCCAAGUAAAUAUUCAAGGAGACUCAAGCGUGUAAGCUUGGGGAUGCCCCGGAAGGCAUCCCCUCUUUCUUCAACAAGUAUCGGUAUGUUUUCGGAUUCGUUUCGUUCAUGCGAUAUGUGCAAUCUUGGAGCGUCUUUUGCAUUUAGUUUUAAUUUUUAUUUUAUGCACCAUGCUGGUAUGAGAUAGUCCUUGGUUGAUUUAUAGAAUGCUCAUUGCACUUGACUUAUAUCUUUUGAGUAUGGCUUUAUAGAAUGCUUCAUGUGCUUCACUUAUAUCAUUUGAAGCUUGGAUUGCCUGUUUCUCUUUACAUAGUCAACCGCCAUUUGUAGAAUGCUCUUUUGCUUCACUUAUAUUAGUUAGAGCGUGGGCAUAUCUUUUGUAGAAAGAAUUAAACUCUCGUGCUUCACUUAUAUCUAUUUAGAGAGAUGACAGGAACUGGUCAUUCACAUGGUUAGUCAUAAAACCCUACAUAAAACUUGUAGAUCACUGAAUAUGAUAUGUUUGAUUCCUUGCAAUAGUUUUGCGAUAUAAAGGUGGUGAUAUUAGAGUCGUGCUAGUUGAGUAAUUGUGAAAUUGAGAAAUACUUGUGUUGAGGUUUGCAAGUCCCGUAGCAUGCACGUAUGGUGAACCGUUAUGUAACGAAGUUGGAGCAUGAGGUGUUUAUUGAUUGUCUUCCUUCUGAGUGGCGGUCGGGGACGAGCGAUGGUCUUUUCCUACCAAUCUAUCCCCCUAGGAGUAGGCGCGUAGUACUUUGUUUCGAUAGCUAAUAGACUUUUGCAAUAAGUAUGUGAGUUCUUUAUGACUAAUGUUGAGUCCAUGGAUUAUACGCACUCUCACCCUUCCAUCAUUGCUAGCCUCUUCGGUACCGUGCAUUGCCCUUUCUCACCUCGAGAGUUGGUGCAAACUUCGCCGGUGCAUCCAAACCCCAUGAUACGAUACGCUCUAUCACACAUAAACCUCCUUAUAUCUUCCUCAAAACAGCCACCAUACCUACCUAUCAUGGCAUUUCCAUAGCCAUUCCGAGAUAUAUUGCCAUGCAACUUCCAUCAUCAUCAUAUACAUGACUUGAGCAUUUAUUGUCAUAUUGCUUUGCAUGAUCGUAAGAUAGCUAGCAUGAUGUUUUCAUGGCUUGUCCGUUUUUUGAUGCCAUUGCUACGCUAGAUCAUUGCACAUCCCGGUACACCGCCGGAGGCAUUCAUAUAGAGUCAUAUCUUUGUUCUAGAUAUCGAGUUGUAAUAUUGAGUUGUAAGUAAAUAAAAGUGUGAUGAUCAUCAUUAUUAGAGCAUUGCCCCAGUGAGGAAAGGAUGAUGGAGACUAUGAUUCCCCCACAAGUCAGGAUGAGACUCCGGACGAAAAAAAUAAAAAAAUAAAAAUAAAAGAGAGAAAGGCCAAAAAAAGAGAAGGCCCAAAAAAAAAGAAAAAAUGAGAGAAAAAGAGAGAAGGGCAAUGUUACUAUCCUUUUACCACACUUGUGCUUCAAAGUAGCACCAUGUUCUUCAUAUAGAGAGUCUCUUGAGUUGUCACUUUCAUAUACUAGUGGGAAUUUUCAUUAUAGAACUUGGCUUGUAUAUUCCAACGAUGGGCUUCCUCAAAUGCCCUAGGUCUUCAUGAGCAAGCAAGUUGGAUGCACACCCACUUAGUUUCAGUUUGAGCUUUGAUACACUUAUAGCUCUAGUGCAUCCGUUGCAUGGCAAUCCCUACUCCUCACAUUGACAUCAAUUGAUGGGCAUCUCCAUAGCCCGUUGAUUAGCCGCGUCGAUGUGAGACUUUCCCCUUUUUUUGUCUUCUCCACAUAACCCCCAUCAUAUUAUUCUAUUCCACCUAUAGUGCUAUGUCCAUGGCUCACGCUCAUGUAUUGCGUGAAAGUUGAAAAGGUUUGAGAACGUCAAAAGUAUGAAACAAUUGCUUGGCUUGUCAUCGGGGUUGUGCAUGAUGUGAAUGCUUUGUGUGGUGAAGAUGGAGCAUAGCCAAACUAUAUGAUUUUGUAGGGAUAAGCUUUCUUUGGCUAUGUUAUUUUGAUAAGACAUAAUUGCUUGGUUAGUAUGCUUGAAGUAUUAUUGUUUUUAUGUCAAAGAAUAGACUAUUGCUUUGAAUCACUCGUGUCUUAAUAUUCAUGCCAUGAUUAGACAUAUGAUCAAGAUUAUGCCAGGUAGCAUUCCACAUAAAAAUUAUCUUUUUUAUCAUUUACCUACUCGAGGACGAGCAGGAAUUAAGCUUGGGGAUGCUGAUACGUCUCCGUCGUAUCUAUAAUUUUUUAUUGUUCCAUGCCAAUAUUAUUCAACUUUCAUAUACUUUUUGGCAACUUUUUAUACUAUUUUUGGGACUAACAUAUUGAUCCAGUGCCUAGUGCCAGUUCCUGUUUGUUGCAUGUUUUAUGUUUCGCAGAAUAUCCAUAUCAAACGGAAUCCAAACGGGAUAAAAACGGACGGAGCUUAUUUUUGGAAUAUUUGGAAAAUUCCGGAAGAAAAAUCCACGCGAGACGGUGCCCGAGGUGGCCACGAGGCAGGGGGGCGCGCCUGCCCCCCUGGGCGCGCCCCUGACCCUCGUGGGCCACCCGUAAGGCGGUUGAUGCCCUUCUUCGGCCGCAAGAAAGCUAAUUUUUGGAAAAAGAUCUGGGCGAAAGAUUCAACCCAAUCGGAUUUACGGAUCUCCGGAUAUAAAAGAAACGGUGAAAGGGCAGCAGAGGAGAACGCAGAAACAGAGAGAGAUAGAGAGACAGAUCCAAUCUCGGAGGGGCUCUCGCCCCUCCCACGCCAUGGAGGCCAAGGACUAGAGGGGAAACCCUUCUCCCAUCUGGGGAGGAGGUCAAGGAAGGAGAAGACGAAGGGCCCCCCUCUCCCCUUCUCUUCCGGUGGCGCCGGAACGCCGCCGUGGCCAUCAUCAUCACCGCAAUCUUCACCAACAACUUCACCGCCAUCAUCACCAACUCUCCCCCCCUCUAUGCAGCGGUGUAACCUCUCUCUUACCCGCUGUAAUCUCUACUUAAACAUGGUGCUCAACGCUAUAUAUUAUUUGCCAAUGAUGUAUGGCUAUCCUAUGAUGUUUGGUAGAUCCGUUUUGUCCUAUGGGUUAAUUGAUGAUCGUGAUUGGUUUGAGUUGCAUGUUUUAUUAUUGGUGUUGUCCUAUGGUGCUCUCCGUGUCGCGCAAGCGUGAGGGAUCCCCGCUCUAGGGUUUGCAAUAUGUUCAUGAUUUGCUUAUGGUGGGUGGCGUGAGUGACAGAAGCACGGACCCGAGUAAGUAGGUUGUUUGCGUAUGGGAUAAAGAGGACUUGAUACUUUAAUGCUAUGGUUGGGUUUUACCUUAAUGAUCUUUAGUAGUUGCAGAUUGAUACGUCUCCAACGUAUCUAUAAUUUAUGAAGUAUUCAUGCUAUUAUAUUAUUUGUUUUGGAUGUUUAUGGGCUUUAUUAAACACUUUUAUAUUAUUUUUGGGACUAACCUAUUGACCCAGAGCCCAGUGCCAGUUUCUGUUUUUCCCCUUGUUUCAGUGUUUCGAAGAAAAGGAAUAUCAAACGGAGUCGAAACGGAAUGAAACCUUCUGGAGAAGUUAUUUUUGGAAGGAAAGCAACCCGGGAGACUUGGAGUCCACGUCAAGAAAGCAACGAGGAAGGCACGAGGCAGGGGGCGCACCCACCCCCUGGGCGUGCCCUCCACCCUCGUGGGCCCCUCGUGGCUCCCCUGACGUAUUUCUUCCGCCUAUAUAUAUCCAUAUACCCUAAAACCUUCGGGGAACAGAAUAGAUCGGGAGUUCCGCCGCCGCAAGCCUCUAUAGCCACCAAAAACCAAUCGGGACCCUGUUCCGGCACCCUGCCGGAGGGGGGAUCCCUCACCGGUGGCCAUCUUCAUCAUCCCGGCGCUCUCCAUGACGAGGAGGGAGUAGUUCACCCUCAGGGCUGAGGGUAUGUACCAGUAGCUAUGUGUUUGAUCUCUCUCUCUCUCUCGUGUUCUUGAUUUGGCACGAUCUUGAUGUAUCGCGAGCUUUGCUAUUAUAGUUGGAUCUUAUGAUGUUUCUCCCCCUCUACUCUCUUGUAAUGGAUUGAGUUUUCCCUUUGAAGUUAUCUUAUCGAUUGAGUCUUUAAGGAUUUGAGAACACUUGAUGUAUGUCUUGCCGUGCGUAUCUGUGGUGACAAUGGGAUACCACGUGAUUCACUUGAUGUAUGUUUUGGUGAUCAACUUGCGGGUUCCGCCCAUGAACCUAUGCAUAGGGGUUGGCACACGUUUUCGUCUUGACUCUCCGGUAGAAACUUUGGGGCACUCUUUGAAGUUCUUUGUGUUGGUUGAAUAGAUGAAUCUGAGAUUGUGUGAUGCAUAUCGUAUAAUCAUACCCACGGAUACUUGAGGUGACAUUGGAGUAUCUAGGUGACAUUAGGGUUUUGGUUCAUUUGUGUCUUAAGGUGUUAUUCUAGUACGAACUCUAGGGCUGUUUGUGACACUUAUAGGAAUAGCCCAACGGAUUGAUUGGAAAGAAUAACUUUGAGGUGGUUUCGUACCCUACCACAAUCUCUUCGUUUGUUCUCCGCUAUUAGUGACUUUGGAGUGACUCUUUGUUGCAUGUUGAGGGAUUGUUAUAUGAUCCAAUUAUGUUAUUAUUGUUGAGAGAACUUGCACUAGUGAAAGUAUGAACCCUAGGCCUUGUUUCCUAGCAUUGCAAUACCGUUUACGCUCACUUUUAUCAUUCGUUAACUUGCUGUUUUUAUAUUUUCAGAUUACAAAAACCUUUAUCUACCAUCCAUAUUGCACUUGUAUCACCAUCUCUUCGCCGAACUAGUGCACCUAUACAGUUUACCAUUGUAUUGGGUGUGUCGGGGACACAAGAGACUCUUUGUUAUUUGGUUGCAGGGUUGUUUGAGAGAGACCAUCUUCAUCCUACGCCUCCCAUGGAUUGAUAGACCUUAGGUCAUCCACUUGAGGGAAAUUUCCUACUGUCCUACAAACCUCUGCACUUGGAGGCCCAACAACGUCUACAAGAAGAAGGUUGUGUAGUAGACAUCAAGCUCUUUUCUGGCGUCGUUGCCGGGGAGGUGAGUGCUUGAAGGUAUAUCUUUAGAUCUUGCAAUAUAAUCUUUUUGUUUCUUGUUUUAGCACUAGUUUAGUUUAUAAAAUAAAACUAAAAAAAUGGAAUUGAGUUUACCUCAUACGCUUCAUCUUUUUAAUAUAUUUCGUGAGUAUGAUGGAAAAGAAAAUUGUGCCAAAGUGUUAGAAGAAGAAUGCAUUAAAAUGUUUGGCACUAAAUAUUUGAAUGAUGAGCAUGACUGCAAUGUUGUUAGUAUGAAUUCUUUGAAUACCUAUGAUGCUAAUGAUAUGCAAAGCCACAAGCUUGGGGAUGUUAUGUUUGAUGAAGAUGAUAUGUUUAGUCCCCCAAGUUUUGAUGAGCAAAUUUAUUAUGAUGAAAGCAUGCCUCCUAUUUAUGAUGAUUAUUGUGAUGACACGUAUGCUAUAAAGAAUAAAGAUAACCAUGAAACUUGUCAUCAUGAUUUUAAUUUUCAAUUGGAUUAUGCUUCACAUGAUAGUUAUUUUCUUGAAUUUGCUCCCACUACUAUUCAUGAGAACAAAUUUGCUUAUGUGGAGAGUAGUAAAAUUUCUAUGCAAGUAGAUCAUGAAAAGAAUGCUUUAUGUGCUGGUUAUAUGGUUGAAUUCAUUCAUGAUGCUAUUGAAAAUUAUUAUGAGGGAGGAAUAUACGCUUGUAGGAAUUGCAAUAAUAUCAAGUUUCCUCUCUAUGUGCUUAAAGUUUUAAAGUUAUGCUUGUUUUGCCUUCCUAUGCAAGUUGAUUCUUGUUCCCAUAAGUUGUUUGCUCACAAAAUCCCUAUGCAUAGGAAGUGGGUUAGACUUAAAUAUGCUAGUCAUAUUCUUCAUGAUGCUCUCUUUAUGUUUCAAUUCUUAUCUUUUAUGUGAGCAUCAUUGAAAUCAUCAUGCCUAGCUAGGGGCGUUAAACGUUAGCGCUUGUUGGGAGGCAACCCAAUUUUAUUUUAGUCUCUUGCUUUUUGGUUCUGUUUAGGAAUAAAUAAAUCAUCUAGCCUCUUGUUAGAUGUGGUUCUAUGUUUUAAUUAGUGUUUGUGCCAAGUUAAACCUAUAGGAUCUUCUUGGAUGAUAGUUAUUUGAUCUUGCUGAAAAUUCCAGAAACUUUCUGUUCACGAAAACAAUUGUUAAAAAUCACCAGAACGUGAUAAAAUACUGAUUCCAAUUGCAGCAGAUCAAUAAUCAAAUUAUCUAGGUCUUCCUAUUUUGGUAGAAUUUUUUGAGUUCCAGAAGUUUGCGUUAGUUACAGAUUACUACAGACUGUUCUGUUUUUGACAGAUUCUGUUUUUCGUGUGUUGUUUGCUUAUUUUGAUGAAUCUAUGGCUAGUAAAAUAGUUUAUAAACAAUAGAGAAGUUGGAAUACAGUAGGUUUAACACCAAUACAAAUAAAGAAUGAGUUCAUUACAGUACCUUGAAGUGGUGUUUUGUUAUCUUUCGCUGACGGAGCUUACGAGUUUUCUGUUAAGUUUUGUGUUGUGAAGUUUUCAAGUUUUGGGUAAAGAUUCGAUGGACUACGGAAUAAGGAGUGGCAAGAGCCUAAGCUUGGGGAUGCCCAAGUCACCCCUAGGUAAUAUUCAAGGACAACCAAGAGCCUAAGCUUGGGGAUGCCCCGGAAGGCAUCCCCUCUUUCGUCUUCAUUCAUCGGUAACUUUACUUGGAGCUAUAUUUUUAUUCACCACAUGAUAUGUGUUUUGCUUGGAGCGUCAUUUUAUUUUCUUUAGCUUUGCUUGCUGUUUGAAUAAAAUACUAAGAUCUGAAUUUAUUAAAUGAGAGAGUCUUCACAUAGCUACAUAAUUAUUUAACUACUCAUUGAUCUUCACUUAUAUCUUUUUGGAGUAGUUUGUCAUUUACUCGUGUGCUUCACUUAUAUCCUAUGAGUAAAUGGUUGAAUGAUUUGAAUGUCAUAAAUCUGAAAUUAUAUAUGUUUCAUAUGCUCAUCCCAUGGGGAGUAAUGACUUUACAUAUAAGAAGUAGAUGUGGUAAAUUUAUUGAAGGUUAGCAAACAUUGUAUUGGUCACUUGAACAAUUCAUGAAAGAAUAUUGAAGGAAGAGAGAUUUCACAUAUAAAUAUACUAUCUUGGACAUAUUCUAUGAUUGUGAGCCCCAUUAAUUAUUCUCAAACCUGAGCAAAUUAGUUGAAGUUGGACAAGGAAGACAACAUAAUGAGUUAUGCUUGGGUAUAUUUGUAUAGAAGUUAUAUUGUUAUGGAUCCUCUAACAUGUGGUGCUUGCUAUUUAGAAUCCUUUGCUAGCCAAAAUAUCUGUACUAAGCGGGAAUACUGCUUGUGCAUCCAAAAUCCUUGAACCAAAUUUCUUCCAUGAGUGUCCACCAUAUCUACCUAUAUACGGUAUUUACCUGCCGUUCCAAGUAAAUUUGCAUGUGCCAAACUCUAAACCUUCAAAUAAUAAUCUGUUUUGUAUGCCCGAAUCGCUCAUGUAGCGACUACGGGUUAGCAGUAUCUUCCAUGCUAGGUGGGUUAUUCUGAUGAUGAGUGGACUCCGCUCAUCAUUCACGAGAAAAUGGAUGGUAACUGGGAUGCCCAGUCCCAUGAUCAAAAGAUCGAAAUCAAAUCAAAAAUAUUUGCAAACAAAACUCCCCCAGGUUUGAUGUUAGUUGGAGGCACCCAUUGUUUCGGGCAAGCCAUGGAUUGAUGAUUGUGGGUGGAGGGGGAGUAAAAAUCUUUACCUUUCUGUUUGGGAACCGCCUAUAAUGUAUGUAGUAUGGAAGAUAUUGGGAACUCUUGGUCGUUAUGUUGACAAUGAAAGCAUACCUCUCAAAAUUAUUUUCAUCUCUGUUUUUGCUUCGAGCUCUGGCACCUCUGCAAAUCCCUGCUUCCCUCUGCGAAGGGCCUAUCUUUUACUUUUAUGCAAGAGUCAGUAGUAUUCCUUCUCAUUCCAACCUACUCUUUAGUUGGCAAGCAUCAUGUGAUGGAAAGAUCUAGGCAUAUAUGCCAUUCAAAUAUAUUUGAGCAUGAAUUAUUACUGUUGACAUUACCCCUGAGGUAAAAGGUUGGGAGGCGAAACAUUAAGCCCCUAUCUUUCUCUGUGUUCGAUGAAUACUAUUUGUUCUAAAAAUAUGCUUUGAGUGGUAGCAAUCAUGGAAGACUAAAUGAUAGUUGAGUAUGUGAAGUUUGCUGAAUCAAAGCUCUGACAUAGACUCUUCCUGAAAAUAAGAUGAAUUGAAUUGUUUGAUGACUGAGAACUGUUUGUUAGUUUUCAAGAAAGUUUAUUGUCUAUGCUUUAACAUGUGAAUAGUUUGUUACUUGAUCAUGAAAAGUUCUAUGAGUUGAGCUACUGUUAUGACAUAUAAUGAUGCUAGAAAUGGUCACUGAAAUUAUCAUUGAUCAAACUUAUGCACCUGCUAGCAUUCACACUUCAUACAUUCUUUCUUUUAUCAUUUACCUACUCGAGGACGAGCAGGAAUUAAGCUUGGGGAUGCUGAUACGUCUCCAACGUAUCUAUAAUUUAUGAAGUAUUCAUGCUAUUAUAUUAUCUGUUUUGGAUGUUUAUAGGCUUUAUUAAACACUUUUAUAUUAUUUUUGGGACUAACCUAUUGACCCAGAGCCCAGUGCCAGCUUCUGUUUUUUCCCUUGUUUCAGUGUUUCGAAGAAAAGGAAUAUCAAACGGAGUCGAAACGGAAUGAAACCUUCUGGAGAAGUUAUUUUUGGAAUGAAAGCAACCCAGGAGACUUGGAGUCCACGUCAAGAAAGCAACGAGGAAGGCAUGAGGCAGGGGGCGCGCCCACCCCCUGGGCGCGCCCUCCACCCUCGUGGGCCCCUCGUGGCUCCCCUGACGUAUUUCUUCCGCAUAUAUAUAUCCAUAUACCCUAAAACCUUCGGGGAACAGAAUAGAUCGGGAGUUCCGCCGCCGCAAGCCUCUGUAACCACCAAAAACCAAUCGGGACCCUGUUCCGGCACCCUGUCGGACGGGGGAUCCCUCACCGGUGGCCAUCUUCAUCAUCCCGGCGCUCUCCAUGACGAGGAGGGAGUAGUUCACCCUCGGGGCUGAGGGUAUGUACCAGUAGCUAUGUGUUUGAUCCCUCUCUCUCGUGUUCUUGAUUUGGCACGAUCUUGAUGUAUCGCGAGAUUUGCUAUUAUAGUUGGAUCUUAUGAUGUUUCUCCCCCUCUACUCUCUUGUAAUGGAUUGAGCUUUCCCUUUGAGGUUAUCUUAUCGGAUUGAGUCUUUAAGGAUUUGAGAACACUUGAUGUAUGUCUUGCCGUGCGUAUCUGUGGUGACAAUGGGAUAUCACGUGAUUCACUUGAUGUAUGUUUUGGUGAUCAACUUGUGGGUUCCGCCCAUGAACCUAUGCAUAGGGGUUGGCACACGUUUUCAUCUUGACUCUCCGGUAGAAACUUUGGGGCACUCUUUGAAGUUCUUUGUGUUGGUUGAAUAGAUGAAUCUGAGACUGUGUUAUGCAUAUCGUAUAAUCAUACCCACGGAUACUUGAGGUGACAUUGGAGUAUCUAGGUGACAUUAGGGUUUUGGUUGAUUUGUGUCUUAAGGUGUUAUUCUAGUACGAACUCUAGGGCUGUUUGUGAAACUUAUAGGAAUAGCCCAACAGAUUGAUUGGAAAGAAUAACUUUGAGGUGGUUUCGUACCCUACCAUAAUCUCUUCGUUUGCUCUCCUCUAUUAGUGACUUUGGAGUGACUCUUUGUUGCAUGUUGAGGGAUUGUUAUAUGAUCCAAUUAUGUUAUUAUUGUUGAGAGAACUUGCACUAGUGAAAGUAUGAAUCCUAGGCCUUGUUUCCUAGCAUUGUAAUACCGUUUACGCUCACUUUUAUCAUUCGUUACCUUGCUGUUUUUAUAUUUUCAUAUUACAAAAACCUUUAUCUACCAUCCAUAUUGCACUUGUAUCACCAUCUCUUCGCCGAACUAGUGCACCUAUACAGUUUACCAUUGUAUUGGGUGUGUUGGGGACACAAGAGACUCUUUGUUAUUUGGUUGCAGGGUUGUUUGAGAGAGACCAUCUUCAUCCUAUGCCUCCCACGGAUUGAUAAACCUUAGGUCAUCCACUUGAGGGAAAUUUGCUACUGUCCUACAAACCUCUGUACUUGGAGGCCCAACAACGUCUACAAGAAGAAGGUUGUGUAGUUGACAUCACGGAUGCUUGCUAGAGUUCCAAUCAUAAGUGCAUAUGAUCCAAGUAGAGAAAGUAUGUUAGCUUAUGCCUCUCCCUCAAAUAAAAUUGCAAUAAUGAUUACCUGUCUAGUUAUCGAUUGCCUAGGGACAAAUAACUUUCUCGUAACAAAAAGCUCUUUACUAAAACUAAUUUAGUUGUGUCUUUAUCUAAGCAGCCCCUAGCUUUUAUUUACGCUCUCUUUACUUUCUUGCAAACCUAUCCAAAAACACCUACAAAGUACUUCUAGUUUCAUACUUGUUUCCGGUAAAGCGAACGUCGAGUGUGCGUAGGGUUGUAUCGGUGGUCGAUAGAACUUGAGGGAAUAUUUGUUCUACCUUUGGCUCCUCGUUGGGUUCGACACUCUUACCUAUCGAAAGAGGCUACAAUUGAUCCCCUAUACUUGUGGGUUAUCAGAGGUUAACAAUUAGAUACAGCAGGGGCCGGCGAUACUGCCAGUGCCACUGCGCCCGGUGGACUGGUAUGUACAACAGUGAAGAUCAACUAUCCAUAUCCGCACAAGCAAAAAGAUCUCUCUUGCCUUCGGCAAUCAUGACGGGAAAGUUUCAGAACAUCUACAACCAGGCUUCUCAUACCCGUUUCAAACGUUCGGUCACGGAUCAGUAAAAAAAAUUCGAUCCAACCGGACCUCUCAAACCGUGGAGAAACGUCCAGACUGACCAGCACCCCUCAUAUCGAGCCCAAAUACAUGAUGGAUAUGGGGUGGCGAGGAAUUGGCGAUUCCGCCCCUUCCCCCCUCUCCCCUUCAAUGUUUAUGUCAUUUUUACUUGUAGAAGUUUAUGAACUUGUCCGGGGACGAAGUAUGAUCUUUCGUGUGGUGAAGUAUGGUAGGGCGUGUUUGGUUGCCCGCAUGCAGCUCAACUAGGCCCGCGCGGGAUGUGCGCGGCCUGUUUGGUAGCCCGCAUACACUAUUGGGCCUGCAUCGCACGCUUCUUAAAGCACCUCAGGGCCUGGCUCACUGGGAACGCACGAAUCGGCAGUUUCUCCAGGGCCAGGCCCGAGCGAUGCACGUGGGCGGGCGCGGCUGCAUGCGUGCGGCCACCCUCAAGAAGCCGCGUUGCUUCCCGAAGCACCGGCAGUUAUUAGCCUCACCGCCCCUCACCGCUCCCUCUCCCCACUCUUCCCCACUCUCCCAACUCUCACUGGCGGCGGCGGAUCGGAGCAAAGGAAGAAGACCACCAGACUCCAUCACCGGCGGCGGUGGAUCGGAGCAAAGGAAGAGGACCACCGGACUCCAUCAAUGGCGGUAAGCACUUCUCUCUCUUCGACAUGCACGCUAGAUUCGAUCCACGGCGGAGGGAAAUGGGGAAUAGAGGUAGAUAAGCAUAGGGGUAGUUCAUACUAGUUCAUAGCAGUUCAUACGAGUUCAUACAUGCAAGAUCGGAAUGCAUAAGGUAGAUUUCGGGAUUGGGGGAUAGGGGAAUCGGGGGAAAGGGGGUACACAACGGACACCGGCUGACCGCGGCGGCCGUCACCGGCGUGCGAAGCGGCUAGUCGAGCCGCUGGCCUUCAUCUUCUUCUUCAUCGCCGUGCGGGCCGGCGGGUCGUCCUCGUCGUCCUCGGCGGAGUCGAGGUCGAUCUGCCAGGUAGGACGGACUGGCUCCGACGCCCUAGCUGGCAUGUGCACCACCUCUUCUUCCUCCUCCUUAGGCUCCCCGCCGAUGACCGCCGACGGCGCGAUAGCCGUCUCCCAGUACACUGCGGCACGGCGGUCAUUAGGAGCCCAGUAGGUCUUGUACUUGCACCACUUCUUCCUCUGUUUAGGGUCGUCGAAGACAGCCUGAUUCAUGGCCCAGUGAAUGAUGUCAACUGCCAUCGCGCCCUUCGCUGGGUCAGGAAUCAGCGUCUUCAACUCUUCUUUAGUGGCCUUCACGAGCACGGCAUUAGAUUCAUUCUGCAUGUCCGGCAUGGAGCCGAAGUUCGAGCACACCUCCAUGGUGUUCUCGAACUUGGUCCGGUCACCAGCCGUCCACCCGAGGAAGAAGGCCCUCCAGCCAAUACCCCAAGGGAAGGGGUUGGCGUUGGAGCUGGAGCUAGAGCUCAUGGCGAUGGGGAGGAGGAAGGUUGACAGUGAGAGAAGAGAGGGGGUGGGUAAAUAGUGGUGGGCAGGGUGAGUAAAUAUAGGGGGGAUGGAGAGGAGGAGAAGAGUGACAGUCAUGCACUACAAGAAAUAUGUCAACUUGCGACCCUCACUAUUGGUCACUGAUUUUCAUUUGCGACCUUUUUUUUUACCAAAAACAGAUGGUCAAAAGCUGGCGGUCGUAAAAUGAAAUUAACAACCUUCUCUGUGAGAAGGUCAUGGAAUUCCACGACCAAAACAAAAGGUCGUUGAUUCUAUGACCUUCUGUUUUGGUCACUAGCUCUCUACCCAGGCCACGUCGGAUCCGACGUGGCAAUCUGACGUGGCAAAAUUGCGACCAAAUGAAAAGGUCGUUGAUAAGAAUCAGCCCGGUCCAUUUCACUGCUUUAGAUGGGCCGAGUCCAACAAUUCAUCCUUUUUAUUUUUUCUGUCAAUUUUGGUCGACUUCAUGGGCCAAGCCCAACGUUGCAGCCUUUUUUAUUGUUGGGCCGUGGCCUUUUUGUCUAAACAAUUUCAUUUUUCUUUUUUAUUAAAUGGGUCCACUAGUCAAAUGGGUCCCAGUGCAUGUAAUAGUUUAACUCAUGUUAACUAGCAGUAACCUUCACAAGAUAGCCUCAAACGAACCAUCAAGUCAACUCAUGUUUACAGCUAACAGCAGCAAGUGUAUGUAUUUGUUUAACUCAUGUUAACUAACAGUAACCUUCACAAGACAGCCUCGAACGAACCAUCAAGUCAACUCAUCAUACAACACAUUUACAGCUAACAGCAGCAAUACAUCAUACAUCACAGAGAACGGUUCACAGAAACCGACAAACUAAACUAGAGGCACAUCAUAAGCUCACAAGCAUGGCUGCCGCAGCAGUUUGUUUCGCCAGUAAAGACAGCGACUUUCUUCCUCGACCAGACAAUAGCCCAGCUCACAUCCUCUACCUCCUCACAGGAGGCGCGCCACCUCGUCUCCUUCAACAGGGGGAUCACCACCACGUCCACCAGCAGCCUGCAUGAAGCAG
Molecule: long non-coding RNA, 28327 nt
Filed under: Triticum aestivum (bread wheat)
Lineage: Eukaryota; Viridiplantae; Streptophyta; Magnoliopsida; Poales; Poaceae
Description: long non-coding RNA (TAES_LNC024847)
Source: RNAcentral